UGGGGAAUAUUGGACAAUGGGCGAAAGCCUGAUCCAGCCAUGCCGCGUGUGUGAAGAAGGUCUUCGGAUUGUAAAGCACUUUAAGUUGGGAGGAAGGGCAUUAACCUAAUACGUUAGUGCUUUGACGUUACCGACAGAAUAAGCACCGGCUAACUCUGUGCCAGCAGCCGCGGUAAUACAGAGGGUGCAAGCGUUAAUCGGAAUUACUGGGCGUAAAGCGCGCGUAGGUGGUUUGUUAAGUUGAAUGUGAAAUCCCCGGGCUCAACCUGGGAACUGCAUCCAAAACUGGCAAGCUAGAGUAUGGUAGAGGGUGGUGGAAUUUCCUGUGUAGCGGUGAAAUGCGUAGAUAUAGGAAGGAACACCAGUGGCGAAGGCGACCACCUGGACUGAUACUGACACUGAGGUGCGAAAGCGUGGGGAGCAAACAGGAUUAGAUACCCGUGGUAGUCCGACGCCGUAAACGAUGUCAACUAGCCGUUGGGAGUCUUGAACUCUUAGUGG
RNAcentral lists this ribosomal RNA (501 nucleotides) under uncultured Pseudomonadota bacterium. RNAcentral describes it as "bacterial SSU rRNA". It matches the Rfam family "Bacterial small subunit ribosomal RNA", at positions 355 to 846 of the family's 1533-position model. Lineage: Bacteria; Pseudomonadati; Pseudomonadota. The record is from RNAcentral.